RNAcentral lists this long non-coding RNA (1865 nucleotides) under Homo sapiens (human). RNAcentral describes it as "HSALNT0353422". The record is from RNAcentral. Lineage: Eukaryota; Metazoa; Chordata; Mammalia; Primates; Hominidae.
UGUAGUCCAGGAACCGCUUUUGCAUAACCUCAGUAGAUAAAGCAUGCUGAGGUCAUGUCAGAUCAUUUCAAGCUCUUCUGUGUCGAGCUGAGGAGCUGCUCUGUGCCCGGCUUACAGAACUGGAAGGGGGAGCCACCUUCCGCCUGAUGGAGGCUGGAGAACGGAUGGAACCUGGAUCCCUGGAGCCUGGGACACUACCUCGCUGCGGUUGGUGGUGGCCACAGACCAGUAGGAGGGCGGCUGGCAGCGGGAGCUUCUUCUGCCGGGCUGGAGGACUAGGAGAAGGGAGAGGGAACGCCACAUGCUGGAGGCUGGAGCCUGUGCCACCGUGGCUCACCUCGAUGUGGUUGGUGGCAGCUCGCCUUGCUGUGGUUGGUGGUGACGUCGGAGACUGCAGCUCGGCCACAGUGGUAGAAAUGUGUUGGGCUUUUGCUGUGUUGGGCACUUGCUCCCAUCUGCUUGCUUCUCUAGAAUCCACUGCCCUAGAAUGAGUAAUUUUUCUUAGAAGCAGAGUUGGAACCACUGAGGAAGCACAGGUGAGCCCUCCCCAGCACACACUCGCUAGUCCCCAACAGAAGAACUGUUGCUGCAUCCAUUGAGGUACCAAGAAACUAGCAAAGGGCCUUCUGGCUGUCUGGGGACAGUCCUCAUGUGGUCCCUGGCUCAGCCUCAAGGGUUCUGGAUUAAUUUGUCUGCAGCCUCUGUGCUGUGUCUCUAGAUCGGGGCUCUGUGGGAAGGGCCCUGGGAGACCCAGCAGCACAGGGUGUCUCGUCUGCCAAAUGUCCCUCCCUUCUCCCACUCUGACACUCAGGAAUAGGGUAGAUGGCAUGUCCAGGCAGUGCCAGGCCACCUCAUUGUCUCCUUUGAGAUGGGCCCAGAGGGCCUUGGGGGGCGAGUGUGAAGCUGGGUACCUGGAGCCUGAGGCUGACUGUCCCUUCCUAUGUCUUGGAGGAGAGGCCUUGGGGCCCAAGAAACCCCCCCGGGCCUGAUCUCUGGGCACACAUGCAGGGAGGGAGGGUCUGUGGGCUGAUUGGGGCAUUGUAAUGAGACGUUGAGCACCACUGCACAGGGGCCUCGUCAGUGGAUCAUGGUCAGAGAUGACCUAGCCAUCAGGACCUGGUCAGUUGGGACCAGAUCAGCAGGGACCUGGCUAGGGGGUGGCCUCCUCAGUGAAGGCCUCACCAGUAGGGAUCUGGUGACCUAGUCAUUGGAAGCCUAGUCAGUGGGGACCUGGUCAGUGGUGGCCUUAUUAGUGGGGCCUGAUCGGUUGGAACAUAAACAAUAAAAAACUGGCCGGUGGGGUCUAUUCAGUAUAUUAGGGGUCUGGUCAGUGUGGGGCCUUAGUGGCUCGGAGCCUGGUCAGUGAGGGCCUGGUCAGAGGGGGCUCGGUCAGCUGGGGACUGAUCCAUGGAGAAUUGUUCAGUGGGGGUGAGGUGAGGGGCAACCUGGUAAAUUGUGGUCUUGUCAGUGGGAACCCAGUCAGUGGGGUCUGGUCCGUGAGGCCUAUUAAUAGGGACCUCUUCCUGGUUAUGGAGACAUGGCCAGUGGGGACUUGGUCAGUGGGACCUGGUCAAUGGAGGAGUGGUCAUUAGGGGCCUUGUCAGUGGGGACCUGGUUUGGGGGGCGCCUGGUCAGUAGGAACCUGGCCAGUUGGCCGCUGUGUGACCUUAGGCAGGGGGUUUGUGGAGCCUCCUUGCUUCCAUGUGUAGGAAGGUGAGUCAGGGCACCCUGGAGCGUUGCUGGAAAGAGAAUGUGAGAAGAUGUGUUGAAUUCAGCACUGCUUGGCAGACCUCCAACUUUACACACAACCUGGGUUCCACCUAGAGAGGGUACCAGCCCGCUCUACUCUGCUCGGCGCCCCUCCU